This 244-nucleotide ribosomal RNA is filed under the name uncultured bacterium. Its description in RNAcentral is "partial 16S ribosomal RNA". It matches the Rfam family "Bacterial small subunit ribosomal RNA", at positions 15 to 251 of the family's 1533-position model. The record is from RNAcentral.
GAUCCUGGCUCAGGAUGAACGCUAGCUACAGGCUUAACACAUGCAAGUCGAGGGGCAGCAUGAACUUAGCUUGCUAAGUUUGAUGGCGACCGGCGCACGGGUGAGUAACACGUAUCCAACCUGCCGAUGACUCGGGGAUAGCCUUUCGAAAGAAAGAUUAAUACCCGAUGGCAUAGUUCUUCCGCAUGGUAGAACUAUUAAAGAAUUUCGGUCAUCGAUGGUGAUGUCCGUUCCUAGUUUAGGG